GAUGAACGCUAGCGACAGGCUUAACACAUGCAAGUCGAGGGGCAGCGAGGGCGUAGCAAUACGCCUGUCGGCGACCGGCGCACUGGUGAGUAACACGUAUGCGACCUGCCCCCUACAGGGGUAUAACCCGUAGAAAUGCGGACUAAUCCCCCAUAGUCCUGGGUGCUGCAUGGCAUUCAGGGGAAAGGCCAGCCGGUAGGGGAUGGGCAUGCGGCGCAUUAGCUAGUUGGCGGGGCAACGGCCCACCAAGGCGACGAUGCGUAGGGGUUCUGAGAGGAAGGCCCCCCACACUGGGACUGAGACACGGCCCAGACUCCUACGGGAGGCAGCAGUGAGGAAUAUUGGACAAUGGAGGCAACUCUGAUCCAGCCAUGCCGCGUGAAGGACUAAGGCCCUAUGGGCUGUAAACUGCUUUUAUGCGGGAUAAGCGGCCACGUGUGGCCCCUUGCAGGUACCGCAUGAAUAAGGACCGGCUAA
RNAcentral lists this ribosomal RNA (477 nucleotides) under uncultured bacterium. RNAcentral describes it as "bacterial SSU rRNA". It matches the Rfam family "Bacterial small subunit ribosomal RNA", at positions 28 to 500 of the family's 1533-position model. The record is from RNAcentral.